AGCCAGACAAUGCAGUUUCGUUAAUUAAUACUGAUAUUACUGUUGAUAUAUGUGAACGUAAAACUGUAGGAACACAAAAUAAUAUAUAUUUUAAUAAACACGAUAAUACAUCAUAUGAAAUUAUUGAACAAGUAGAAGGUCCUAUUAUUCAUAAUACAAUUUUUAAAGAAAUGAAAAAAUAUAAAUAUAUAAUUAAUUCUAAUAUUUUAGAUUUAUUAAAAAAAGAUAAAAUUAAUAUACUUUUAUCAUUACAAUCAAACAAUAUAAACGAUUUUAUUAUUUUUAUUUCAUUCCCACCAUAUGACUUAGUAUCUGAAGCUGUUCAUCAUUUACAUUUCGAUGACUGCAAUAAUAAUAUUAUCAUAAACAAAGAUGUAAUCUAUAAUUCUUUACGUUUACAUUUUAUUUGUUUUCAACAGGAAGAAUAUAAAAAGAUAAGUGAUUGGUCAAGUGAUGGGUUAAAUAAUGGGAGAAAUGAUGGGAGUAAUAACGGGAUAAAUAAUGGGAUAAACAACAACACAAGUGAUAAAACAAAAAAUGAAUUACUAGAAUUUAUGUUGGAUAAAUAUUUUCCACAUAUAAUGUACAUAGGUAUUCAAUCUACAACACAAACCGAAUUACUUUUUAGUUUAUCUUCAACGUUAGAUUAUAAAAAUUAUAAUUUAAAUUGUAACUACAACUCUAAUAACAGUACCAAUAUUAGUAGCACUAAAACAUGUGAUACUAUUGGUAACAUUUCCGAUAAUAAGAGUAGUAGUAAUGUUACUACAACACAUAAUAAUAACAUUAAUAAAAACUGUGAGUAUGUAAAAUGCGAAAACUGUUUAAAAGAUAUAUUAGCUUCUAAUAUUUAUAUGCAUAAAAUACAUUGUUUAAAAAAUAUAACAAUUUGUAAUAUAUGUAAAAAAAGCUUUACAAAAAAAAAUAUCUCUAAUCAUAUACACUGUAAUAUUUGUAAUGAAGGUUUAAAUAAAGAUGAACAAAAUAAACAUAACAUUAUUUGGCAUAAAAAAAUAAGAUGUAUUUGUCAUAAAUAUUUUUAUAAAAAAC
Molecule: long non-coding RNA, 1050 nt
Filed under: Piliocolobus tephrosceles (Ugandan red Colobus)
Lineage: Eukaryota; Metazoa; Chordata; Mammalia; Primates; Cercopithecidae
Description: lncRNA (ENSPTEG00000004746.1)
Source: RNAcentral